RNAcentral lists this unclassified non-coding RNA (179 nucleotides) under soil metagenome. Its description in RNAcentral is "partial contains 5.8S ribosomal RNA, internal transcribed spacer 2, and large subunit ribosomal RNA". The record is from RNAcentral.
AAGACUAUAGACCUGCGGAGUACCUGCGGAAGGAUCAUUUCUGAGGAGGGAUUAACAAAGACUUGUGUGGGUCUGUGAUGGGCUCCACAAGUGGAUAACCUAAACACAUCUUCCGAUUGAACAUGGCAUUUGUCUGAUCUUGGAUAAUUAUUUGAUAAAACUUUCAACAAUGGAUCUCU